UACAGAGACCUCAAGCGUUAUCCGGAAUCAUUGGGCGUAAAGCGUACCGAUAGGUGGUUUAUUAAGUCUUGGGUAAAAGCCGGAAGCUUAACUUCCGCGUUUGCUUAAGAUACUAAUAGACUAGAGGGGCAAAGAGGAGAUUGGAACGAACGGUGUAGUAGUGAAAUGCGUUGAUAUCGUUCGGAACACCGAAAGCGAAGGCAGAUCUCUGGGUGCCACCUGACACUGCUAGGACGAAAGCGUGGGGAGCGAACAGG
RNAcentral lists this ribosomal RNA (257 nucleotides) under uncultured bacterium. RNAcentral describes it as "partial 16S ribosomal RNA". It matches the Rfam family "Bacterial small subunit ribosomal RNA", at positions 524 to 776 of the family's 1533-position model. The record is from RNAcentral.